RNAcentral lists this ribosomal RNA (253 nucleotides) under uncultured bacterium. RNAcentral describes it as "partial 16S ribosomal RNA". It matches the Rfam family "Bacterial small subunit ribosomal RNA", at positions 524 to 776 of the family's 1533-position model. The record is from RNAcentral.
UACGGAGGGUGCAAGCGUUAUCCGGAUUCACUGGGUUUAAAGGGUGCGUAGGUGGGCUGUUAAGUCAGUGGUGAAAUCUCCGGGCUCAACCCGGAAACUGCCAUUGAUACUAUCAGUCUUGAAUAUCGUGGAGGUAAGCGGAAUAUGUCAUGUAGCGGUGAAAUGCUUAGAUAUGACAUAGAACACCAAUUGCGAAGGCAGCUUACUACCCGAAUAUUGACACUGAGGCACGAAAGCGUGGGGAUCAAACAGG